RNAcentral lists this ribosomal RNA (379 nucleotides) under uncultured eukaryote. RNAcentral describes it as "partial 18S ribosomal RNA". It matches the Rfam family "Eukaryotic small subunit ribosomal RNA", at positions 592 to 976 of the family's 1831-position model. The record is from RNAcentral.
CAAUAGCGUAUAUUAAAGUUGUUGCAGUUAAAAAGCUCGUAGUUGAACUUCAGACCUGGCCGGGCGGUCUGCCUAACGGUAUGUACUGUCUGGCUGGGUCUUACCUCUUGGUGAGCCGGCAUGCCCUUCACUGGGUGUGUCGGGGAACCAGGACUUUUACCUUGAGAAAAUUAGAGUGUUCAAAGCAGGCCUAUGCCUGAAUACAUUAGCAUGGAAUAAUAAAAUAGGACGUGCGGUUCUAUUUUGUUGGUUUCUAGAGUCGCCGUAAUGAUUAAUAGGGAUAGUUGGGGGCAUUAGUAUUCAGUUGCUAGAGGUGAAAUUCUUGGAUUUACUGAAGACUAACUACUGCGAAAGCAUUUGCCAAGGAUGUUUUCAUUAA